GGGCUCGCGAGAAAGCGACCGGCAAUCGUGCGCUUCCAUCCGCUUCCGUCUAAGGUGCACUGCCUCGUAAACACGCAGCCUCUCAAAGCGACACGAGACGGUAGCCUAGCGACUGCAUAUAUAAACGUCUAAGCUCAAAACCCACUUCACUGAACUCAAGACGUCAGCGUGUGUUUCUCGGCGUGCUUCAGCUUAACCACAAACACCAAAAUGCAGUCCCGUUACGUGGUCUUCGCCAUGCUGGUUAUAGUUCUGCUCGUCACCUACGCCGAAGCCCAGCGUGGUUCUCGUGGCCAGCGCUGCGGUCCAGGCGAGGUCUUCAACCAGUGCGGCAGCGCAUGUCCCCGCGUCUGUGGCCGGCCACCAGCUCAGGCGUGCACCCUGCAGUGCGUAAGCGGAUGCUUUUGCCGUCGUGGUUAUAUCCGCACUCAAAGAGGAGGCUGCAUCCCAGAGAGACAGUGCCACCAAAGAGGAUGAACCAUGAAGUCAGAAGGAACACCACCGUAUCGGAAAGUUGUUUAAUGAAACCUAGUCCAUGAACGCCAAAUUAUGCUUGCGUAUAUUUUGUUUGGAAAUAAAUUUAUUAAUGCAAUAACUUA
Rhipicephalus microplus (southern cattle tick) is the source of this 599-nucleotide long non-coding RNA. Lineage: Eukaryota; Metazoa; Arthropoda; Arachnida; Ixodida; Ixodidae. The record is from RefSeq and is a predicted model, not a curated record.